This 24-nucleotide ribosomal RNA is filed under the name Zygosaccharomyces bailii. RNAcentral's name for it is "partial 28S ribosomal RNA". The record is from RNAcentral. Lineage: Eukaryota; Fungi; Ascomycota; Saccharomycetes; Saccharomycetales; Saccharomycetaceae.
GUUUGACCUCAAAUCAGGUAGGAA